AAAAGAGUGAGAACAACAGGGAGGAAAAAAAGCCUCAACAAUUAUGGCAACACCAACAUCUUAUGACUCUUCUUCUUCAUCAAACAAAAUUUCUCAGCAUAUGAUUCAACAAUGAUAAAUAUUCCCAUGAAAUGAAAAGAAAAACAGAAGAAAAAAAGUUGGAACUCCAAAAACCACAUGUCAUCCAUUACUGUUUUGUCAACAGCAGAAGAACACUGCUACUGAACUUCCACCUACACCACCAUCUUACAGAAGCUCAACAUUCAGUAAUAGAAAAGAGAGAAAGAUCUUAUCUUAACAUUUACUUCUCAAGCUGUGGUCUAAUUUUCUUCUGUGUGGCUAUUAUUUAAACUCAGAAUUGGAGACUUGACUAGCUGAGAGUAUAGCAGUCGUAGUUGGAUCAUACUUGAGUCAACCUGAUAUAAAUCAGUUAGGUGCCAAAUGUAUUCUUAUACUUAUCAUAUGUAGUAGCAUGAUCACAGAUAGCUAGCUACCUGUAUAAAAGGUCACUAGCUAGCACGAUCUUCAACAAGAAUCCAGCUAAAGUGCUUGUUUUGUCAUGUUUUGAAACUCUUUUCUUAGAUAAUAAUGGAGAUGUGGUCUGUUUACUUCUCAGUUCUGGUAAUAAUUUUGCUUGUAAUAAGCACCACUCAUUGGAUCUAUAGGUGAAGGAACCCAAAAUACAAUGGAAAUCUACCUCCUGGCUCCAUGGGCUUCCCAUAGAUUGGGGAGACCUUGCAGUUUCUCAUUCCAAGCAAGUCACUAGACAUCCCAAAUUUUAUCAAGAAGAGAAUUAGAAAAUAUGAUCCACUGUCUCGAACCAGCUUGGUGGGUAGGCCAGUGAUUGUAUCAUCAGAUCCUGAUUUCAACUAUAACCUUCUUCAACAAGAGGGAAAAUUGGUUGAAAGAUGCUACAUGGAUUCCUUUGCCAAGCUUCUUCACCAAGACGCCACAUCAGUUAUUUCGAAACAUGGUUCCAUACACAAGUACCCCAGGAACUUAGUCUUGGCUUAUUUUGGCCCUGGGCCCCUCAAAGAUAAGCUGCUGCCAAAGUUAGAAACUGCUAUAAGCCAAGCAUUGCAGGAUUGGUCUAAGCGACCAACUAUAGAAGUGAAGAGUGCCAGUUCAUCUGUAAAUCAAUUUUGAGCUUAAAUUUCCAGUUACCUUUUGAAUAACUUCUAAAUUGUAGCUCUAGAUUGAUGGAAUGAAGCAUCAUAAGCGCUGCUGUUUUUUGAUGUCUCGCAAUAAGACUUGUAGCUACUAUCACUGCCUCAACAUCUUUUUCUCUAUUUUCUUCCAAAAACUUGCAGAUGAUAUUUGAUUUUACUGCAAAAGUAUUGUUCAGUUAUGAAUCAGAAAAAUCAGGGGAAAAUAUAGCUGAAAGUUUCACCAACUUCUUGCUAGGACUCAUGUCAAUCCCUUUGAAUAUUCCUGGCACAGCAUUUCAUAGAUGUUUAAAGAACCAGAAGAGGGCUAUAAAACCAAUAACUGAAGAGGGACGGCGCCAUCCAGGGAUCCGCAAAGGAGAUUUUCUUGAUCAAAUUGUGGAAGACAUGCAAAAGGAAAAUUUUUGGACAGAUGAGUUUGCCAUUUACAUGAUGUUUGGGCUGCUCCUUGCCAGCUUUGAGACUAUAUCCUCCACACUUGCUUUAGCCAUUAAAUUUCUCACAGACGACCCUCCAGUGGUGCAGAAACUGACGGUAAGUAAACUAAAAAUUACUGAAAACUCUUGAAAACAAGUAGUUGAUGAAGAUUGAUUCUGUACCUUCCCAAGUGGAGCAUGAGAGAAUCCUUGAGAGAAGAAAAGGUACAGAUUCUGGACUUCCAGGAAAGAAUAUAAAUCCAUGACCUAUAUUACCCAUCAUGUUGUUAACGAAUAACUCAGGUUGGCAAGUGUUGCUCCAGGAAUGCUUAGAAGGGCCAUAAAAGACAUUCAAGUUGAAGGAUACACAAUCCCUAAAGGCUGGACUAUCAUGGUUGUUCCAGCAGCUGUUCAAUUAAAUCCCAACACCUACAAAGAUCCCCUUACCUUUUUUUUUCUUGGACGGGUCAUUGCUAGUUUUUAGAUCAGAUUGCUCCUUUAUAAAUUUAACCAUUAGAUUGCUUUGAUUUUGUAUAUAUUAUGCUAUACUCUUAUUUUUUAGGGUGAGAAAGUAUAGCAUAAUAUAUACAAAAAUCAGAGUAAUUCAAUAGUUAAAUUAGCUUUGAUCUAUAAAAACUUCAUGGGUAAAAUGAAGACAUAGAGAGUUUGGUUUGGUGAGAGAAAAGGAAAGAGACGUUGGGGCUUGUUUUUUAUUAUUUUGAUUUUAGGCGUUGUAUUUUGUAGGUUCCAUAAAUUCAAGUUUAGGUAAAAAGCAAGAAUCGUAUCUCUUUUAUGGACAUACCAAACACCCUUUCUAAUCUUCUGACAUGACAUUGCUUAAUUAGGUUGACAUAUUAUUACAGUAAGCUUGAUUUGAGGGCAUCAUCUCUCUCAUCCUCAUCAAUGAGGGGUUUAAUGGCGCCGGCUGCUCCAUCUCUUUCUACUCUCCCUUUCAGACCACCUCUCUAGGAGUUAUAUUUUUGUCCACGUAUGAUUGUCUAAGGAAUCAUUCUUUUUUCUAUGAAUAAAAACAUCUUUUCCGUGCAA
Molecule: long non-coding RNA, 2629 nt
Organism: Populus nigra (black poplar)
Lineage: Eukaryota; Viridiplantae; Streptophyta; Magnoliopsida; Malpighiales; Salicaceae
Exons: 5
Source: RefSeq, a predicted model, not a curated record